UGUCGAUGAAGAGCGCAGCAAACUGUGUGAAUUAAUGUGAACUGCAUCCUGCCAUGAACAUCGACAUCUUGAUUGCACAUUGCGGCCAUGGGUUAGCCUGUGGCCACGCCUGUCCGAGAGUC
RNAcentral lists this ribosomal RNA (122 nucleotides) under Transversotrema cutmorei. RNAcentral describes it as "partial 5.8S ribosomal RNA". It matches the Rfam family "5.8S ribosomal RNA", at positions 33 to 154 of the family's 154-position model. From Rfam's summary of the family: 5.8S ribosomal RNA (5.8S rRNA) is a component of the large subunit of the eukaryotic ribosome. It is transcribed by RNA polymerase I as part of the 45S precursor that also contains 18S and 28S rRNA. Lineage: Eukaryota; Metazoa; Platyhelminthes; Trematoda; Azygiida; Transversotrematidae. The record is from RNAcentral. RNAcentral also lists the same sequence under 1 other name.